Molecule: ribosomal RNA, 344 nt
Filed under: Acalymma fairmairei
Lineage: Eukaryota; Metazoa; Arthropoda; Insecta; Coleoptera; Chrysomelidae
Description: partial 12S ribosomal RNA
Source: RNAcentral
UUAAAUGUAAUUAAUUUAUUUUAUUAUUAUAAGUUAUGGUCUUUAAAAUUAAAAAAUUUGGCGGUAUUUUAGUCUUUUUAGAGGAACCUGUUUUAUAAAUGAUAGUCCACGAUUUUAUGUAUUUUUAUUAUUAAUUUGUAUAUCGUCGUUAUUAAAUAUUUUUUUAGAAUUUAAUAUUUUAAAUUUUUUUAAAAAAGUUUAUCAGAUCAAGGUGCAGUUUAUAUAAAAAUAAAAAUGGGUUACAAUAAAUUUAUUUUUAGAAUUUUAAUUUUAUAUUGAAAUGAAAUUGGAUUUAAAUGUAAUAUUAAUUUAUUAAUUAAUAUGAUUUUAGCUCUAAAAUAUGU